UACGAAGGGUGCAAGCGUUAAUCGGAAUUACUGAGCGUAAAGCGCGCGUAGGUGGUUCAGUAAGUUGGAAGUGAAAUCCCCGGGCUCAACCUGGGAACUGCUUUCAAAACUGCUGAGCUAGAGUACGGUAGAGGGUGGUGGAAUUUCCUGUGUAGCGGUGAAAUGCGUAGAUAUAGGAAGGAACACCGGUGGCGAAGGCGACCACCUGGACUGAUACUGACACUGAGGUGCGAAAGCGUGGGGAGCAAACAGG
Molecule: ribosomal RNA, 253 nt
Filed under: uncultured bacterium
Lineage: Bacteria
Description: partial 16S ribosomal RNA
Rfam family: Bacterial small subunit ribosomal RNA
Source: RNAcentral